AUUGAACGCUGGCGGCAGGCCUAACACAUGCAAGUCGAACGGUAACAGGAAGAAGCUUGCUUCUUUGCUGACGAGUGGCGGACGGGUGAGUAAUGUCUGGGAAACUGCCUGAUGGAGGGGGAUAACUACUGGAAACGGUAGCUAAUACCGCAUAACGUCGCAAGACCAAAGAGGGGGACCUUCGGGCCUCUUGCCAUCGGAUGUGCCCAGAUGGGAUUAGCUAGUAGGUGGGGUAACGGCUCACCUAGGCGACGAUCCCUAGCUGGUCUGAGAGGAUGACCAGCCACACUGGAACUGAGACACGGUCCAGACUCCUACGGGAGGCAGCAGUGGGGAAUAUUGCACAAUGGACGCAAGCCUGAUGCAGCCAUGCCGCGUGUAUGAAGAAGGCCUUCGGGUUGUAAAGUACUUUCAGCGGGGAGGAAGGGAGUAAAGUUAAUACCUUUGCUCAUUGACGUUACCCGCAGAAGAAGCACCGGCUAACUCCGUG
This 490-nucleotide ribosomal RNA is filed under the name uncultured bacterium. Its description in RNAcentral is "partial 16S ribosomal RNA". It matches the Rfam family "Bacterial small subunit ribosomal RNA", at positions 30 to 507 of the family's 1533-position model. The record is from RNAcentral.